RNAcentral lists this long non-coding RNA (575 nucleotides) under Anas platyrhynchos platyrhynchos (common mallard). RNAcentral describes it as "lncRNA (ENSAPLG00000026127.1)". The record is from RNAcentral. Lineage: Eukaryota; Metazoa; Chordata; Aves; Anseriformes; Anatidae.
GAGCCGUGCCUCUCAUUCACCUCUGCUCCACACAGCCCGGCGUGUCUGCGCAGAAUGGAUGCUUCUCAUUGCUCCGAGGCACUUGAGCCCUGUGGACUUUCCCUGAAGAGGUUCCAAGAUAGGUGGCAGCUCCAAACCCCGUGGUUGCAUUCCCCUCCAGCCAAAUGCUUUCUCUGCACCCCGACCGAACAGGACAGAGGGCUUGGCCGUGUUCUUCAUCCUUCCCAAACUCCCUCCCUAGCGAGGGAGCCGUUCUGUUUCUGGCUAAACAAAGGAACAGAGGAGAAGACACAAUAAUACGGGCUGUGAAAGGACAACAACAGCAGAAGUUGGUUGUUUUGUGUCACCUCUCUUCAUAUCCUGCACAGCUCAAGCCCAGCUGUCUCCAUGAGCCCUGCAGGACCACGCAGAGGUUGAGAAGGACGAGCAGGAAGGACGCCGGAGGUCUUCUGGAGUUUCCUCAUUAGAAGCCGUUCCUGUGAAUUCCAUCCCGUGGAGAGAUCCGAGGUGGCUGGGCUGGAGCUGUUGUCUGGGUAAUCAAUAAACUUUCAGCUGCGUGAUUUUUUUUUUCCUUG